GGACGAACGCUGGCGGCGUGCCUAACACAUGCAAGUCGAGCGAGGAGAUUCCUUCGGGAUGAUCCUAGCGGCGGACGGGUGAGUAACACGUGGGCAACCUGCCUCAUAGAGAGGAAUAGCCUUCCGAAAGGGAGAUUAAUACCUCAUAACAUUGCAGUUUCGCAUGGAACAGCAAUUAAAGGAGCAAUCCGCUAUGAGAUGGGCCCCGCGGCGCAUUAGCUAGUUGGUGAGGUAACGGCUCACCAAGGCGACGAUGCGUAGCCGACCUGAGAGGGUGAUCGGCCACAUUGGGACUGAGACACGGCCCAGACUCCUACGGGAGGCAGCAGUGGGGAAUAUUGCACAAUGGGGGAAACCCUGAUGCCAGCAACGCCGCGUGAGUGAUGACGGCCUUCGGGUUGUAAAGCUCUGUCUUCAGGGACGAUAAUGACGGUACCUGAGGAGGAAGCCACGGCUAACUACGUGCCAGCCGCCGC
Molecule: ribosomal RNA, 476 nt
Filed under: uncultured bacterium
Lineage: Bacteria
Description: bacterial SSU rRNA
Rfam family: Bacterial small subunit ribosomal RNA
Source: RNAcentral